AUGUAACACACUGGUCUGGCACCCAUCAAAGGAAAAUAGGUGUAGCUGUUGCUGCAAGAGGAGGAGAAAUUAAUUCCUACCCAAUGGUCCCAACCCAGGAGGAAUCUUGAAGAAAGAAGACAGCAUCUGCACAUACAUUUGGAAGAAAUCUGCCUGAUUCCCUCGGCUGACAACCCUUAUUGAAAUGACACUGGGAGUUCUCCUGCAAACAACAUUGUCUGGAUGGAUUAUUUGCAUUCAUCAACAAGUGGUGGCUGAGGUGGGGUGCACAGCAGGAGUGACUUCGACCUUCUCAUUUAUAAAGGAAUUCAGAUAAAGAAAUGGUGAAGUAACCAUGCAAUGACAAAAUGAUCAUCAGCCUCUGUGUUCAAAACUAGCAAGAUGGAUAUAGCUAAAGUCUUUAGCUUUGUUACAGCAUUCAGAUGAAUCAUUUAUAUGUAUAUAUGUAAUCUUUGUUUUAUAUAUAUAUCGCAACAUGGUAAUCACAAUGAUGAGUUAAUGGCUGGACCAUAGAAUUUGCUACUUAGAAAGCUGGAAACAGCACAACCACACUACAGUGGGAGUUAGUAUAUAAUUAUUUAUGGAUCCUCCAUCUGUUGUAUUAGCUGCCUGAUCACUAUCUCUCAAUUAAUUUACCAGCCCUAAAUAUAUUGACAUACCUGUGCUGACAGGUAUUUGAGUUUAUAGUCAGCGGGAGCAAUACUAGGAUCUAUGCUAUGGAUCCUCUUUUGAUUGAAAUCCCGAGUAAUAUAUAUUCAAGGCAUCAAAAUAUAUUCAAAGUAUUCUAACACAAAGAUUUUAGUCUUUGUUCCACCCGUAGUUUAGAUGUCAGGAUCCGUUAUUGCUUCUCUUGCUGUUGCUGCUUCAUUAUUUACUAUGUAUCUCAUGUCAAUGUUAAUGCUUUUUUAUUUUAUUAUGCUUGUAUUUUAUCCUGAUAUAUCCAAAGUUAAAAUCUAGUAAGUGAAUAGAUUUUUGGUUCAGUGGUAAUAUUGUUGCAUAAAUGUUAUAGAUCCCAUCCUGUAGUAUUCUGCAUCUUUAGAAUGCAAAUUUCAUGAAAAAAGCACUGAAAAUUUGUUCUGCAGAGGCUUUUGCAAAAUAGCUGCAGAUACUCUUGUGUAUUUGUUUUAGAAGCAUUUAUGAGGAAGACAGAAAAAAAAUGUCAAUAAGACAUGAUUUAAGGUAAUAAUAAUGAUUUUAGGUAAUAAAAUCAUUGCAUGCCAUUUCUUAAAAUGAUUC
Molecule: long non-coding RNA, 1236 nt
Filed under: Anser cygnoides (Swan goose)
Lineage: Eukaryota; Metazoa; Chordata; Aves; Anseriformes; Anatidae
Description: lncRNA (ENSACDG00005015702.1)
Source: RNAcentral